Molecule: ribosomal RNA, 254 nt
Filed under: uncultured bacterium
Lineage: Bacteria
Description: partial 16S ribosomal RNA
Rfam family: Bacterial small subunit ribosomal RNA
Source: RNAcentral
UACGAGAGGCCCAAACGUUAUUCGGAAUUACUGGGCUUAAAGAGUUCGUAGGCGGCCUCCGCAAGUCGACUGUGAAAUCUCUGGGCUUAACCCAGAACGGUCAGCCGAUACUGCGGGGCUAGAGUUCGGUAGGGGAGACUGGAAUUCCUGGUGUAGCGGUGAAAUGCGCAGAUAUCAGGAGGAACACCGGUGGCGAAGGCGGGUCUCUGGGCCGAUACUGACGCUGAGGAGCGAAAGCGUGGGGAGCAAACAGG